RNAcentral lists this long non-coding RNA (211 nucleotides) under Lathyrus oleraceus (garden pea). RNAcentral describes it as "Pisum sativum (pea) long non-coding RNA (PSAT_LNC007077)". The record is from RNAcentral. Lineage: Eukaryota; Viridiplantae; Streptophyta; Magnoliopsida; Fabales; Fabaceae.
AAUUUCUGAACAUAGUAAAUUAGUUUGUAUUGCAUUGAUAUAUUUAGAUUCAACAAAUUUAACGCUUAUACCAUUCUCUAUUUUUUAUUUAUUUCGUUUUUGUUCAGAUUCAUUCCUAUAUGCCUUUAAAUUUAAUGUGAUUUGUUAUUUUUGAUUAUUUUUUUCUUCUUUUACAUGAUUUUUUUUUUCUUUUAGUUGAUAUUUGUCUUUC